Molecule: small nuclear RNA, 102 nt
Organism: Rhinolophus ferrumequinum (greater horseshoe bat)
Lineage: Eukaryota; Metazoa; Chordata; Mammalia; Chiroptera; Rhinolophidae
Source: Ensembl
GUGCUUGCUUCAGCAGCACCUACAUUAAAAUUGGAACGAUACAGAGAAGAUUAGCUCCUGCGCAAGGAUGACACACAAAUUUGUGAAGCAUUCCGUAUUUUU